Molecule: non-coding RNA, 61 nt
Filed under: unclassified sequences
Source: RNAcentral
GCUUUAAUGCGGCCCGUUUUGAUACGGCAGGUUACAAGCCCUGGUAAACGCAGAGUAGAGC